Molecule: ribosomal RNA, 465 nt
Filed under: Vreelandella stevensii
Lineage: Bacteria; Pseudomonadati; Pseudomonadota; Gammaproteobacteria; Oceanospirillales; Halomonadaceae
Description: partial 16S ribosomal RNA
Rfam family: Bacterial small subunit ribosomal RNA
Source: RNAcentral
CCUACGGGUGGCAGCAGUGGGGAAUAUUGGACAAUGGGCGAAAGCCUGAUCCAGCCAUGCCGCGUGUGUGAAGAAGGCCUUCGGGUUGUAAAGCACUUUCAGUGGGGAAGAAAGCCUUGGGGCUAAUACCCUCGAGGAAGGACAUCACCCACAGAAGAAGCACCGGCUAACUCCGUGCCAGCAGCCGCGGUAAUACGGAGGGUACGAGCGUUAAUCGGAAUUACUGGGCGUAAAGCGCGCGUAGGCGGUCUGAUAAGCCGGUUGUGAAAGCCCCGGGCUCAACCUGGGAACGGCAUCCGGAACUGUCAGGCUAGAGUGCAGGAGAGGAAGGUAGAAUUCCCGGUGUAGCGGUGAAAUGCGUAGAGAUCGGGAGGAAUACCAGUGGCGAAGGCGGCCUUCUGGACUGACACUGACGCUGAGGUGCGAAAGCGUGGGUAGCAAACAGGAUUAGAUACCCCAGUAGUC